AGUGAACGCUGGCGGUAGGCCUAACAUAUGCAAGUCGAACGGCAGCACAGUAAGAGCUUGCUCUUACGGGUGGCGAGUGGCGGACGGGUGAGGAAUACAUCGGAAUCUACUUUUUCGUGGGGGAUAACGUAGGGAAACUUACGCUAAUACCGCAUACGACCUACGGGUGAAAGCAGGGGAUCUUCGGACCUUGCGCGAUUGAAUGAGCCGAUGUCGGAUUAGCUAGUUGGCGGGGUAAAGGCCCACCAAGGCGACGAUCCGUAGCUGGUCUGAGAGGAUGAUCAGCCACACUGGAACUGAGACACGGUCCAGACUCCUACGGGAGGCAGCAGUGGCGAAUAUUGGACAAUGGGCGCAAGCCUGAUCCAGCCAUACCGCGUGGGUGAAGAAGGCCUUCGGGUUGUAAAGCCCUUUUGUUGGGAAAGAAAAGCAGCAGGUUAAUACCCCGCUGUUCUGACGGUACCCAAAGAAUAAGCACCGGCUAACUUCGUG
Molecule: ribosomal RNA, 492 nt
Filed under: uncultured bacterium
Lineage: Bacteria
Description: partial 16S ribosomal RNA
Rfam family: Bacterial small subunit ribosomal RNA
Source: RNAcentral